RNAcentral lists this long non-coding RNA (1070 nucleotides) under Homo sapiens (human). RNAcentral describes it as "HSALNT0380158". The record is from RNAcentral. Lineage: Eukaryota; Metazoa; Chordata; Mammalia; Primates; Hominidae.
CUAUGCUUACUCCAUCUUACUUCUCUUAGGUCUUACAAUGGAAGUGCCCUAUUACAUUUUGUUCUUUUCUAUGAUUUCCAAUUAUUUUAUGAAAUUUUUCAUUUAUUUUUUCUGUUCUUUCUAUCUUUAAUUUCUAUGUAACUUUUUGAAAUAGAUCUCAAAGAUUUUAUAUAUAUAUAUAUAUAUAUAUAUACACACACACACAGAGAGAGAGAUAUAUAUCUACUGUACUAUUGAAGUAGAUUCCUAAAGUUUUUAUCUCUUCUAGAAUAUUGGUUUCACAACACCCCUAUUAUGUGUAUUUAAUUUUACCCACCACAUGGCGUUUUCAAAAAGUCUUUAUUUGGCGGAAUACAACUUCAGAAUCUGAUUCGAAGAGAAAAUUGCUCACAGCCGUGAGCCACUGUGCCUGGCCGAUUUUUACUAUUUAAAGAAGGAAGAAUUUUAGCAGCGUGGGGUGGCUCAUGCCUGUAAUCCCAGCACUUUGGGAGGCUGAGGUGGGCGGAUCACUUGAGGCCAGUAGUUCAAGAACAGCCUGGCCAACAUGACGAAACCCCAUCUCUACUAAAAAUACAAAAAUUAGCCAGGCGUGGUGGCACGUGCCUGUAGUCCCAGCUACUCGAAGGCUUAGGCAGGAGAAUCGCUUGAAUCAGAGACAGGGAGGCUGCAAUGAGCCGAGAUUGCACCACUGCACUCCAGCCUGGGCGACAGUGCAAGACUCCAUCUCAAAAAUAAAGAGGAAUUGGAGGAGGAAAUAAAUGAAUAAAUGACAAAGGUGACAAAGGACCAAAGAUCUGUGACUUGUGCAAAGAUUGCUCUGUGUUUGCUGCAGGUCUAGAAGAUGUCACAGAAUUUCAAGGAAGAGAGAGGCAGUUGCUGUGGGAGGUGUGGUAACUGCUGGAAGGAAGAUGCUCAAUUCUUCUGAGCAACGAAGGCCACACGGAGUCCUGGAUUCUGUGUGGCCUGGCAUCCAUGGCGCACUGUGUGCUGGCAGGUGGCUCAGGACGGGGCAGUUAUCAUGGGACACCCGCCAUAUGCUGGCAAGGAAGAUGGUCAGUUCUUCUGAGCCA